ACCCUGCAAUGAAAGCUCUAGAAUGUUGAGCGUCGAACAGGAAGAAGUGUGAGGCAGAAACAAGGAAGUCCAGGCUACAGGGCUGUCAGGAGGCCUUCCUUCUUGCUCCAGCAAAGUAAGUUCUUGGCGUCAGCUUUUAACUCUGAAGUCUCUCUGAAAUAGAUCCUCCAGCAAAACUAAAGGUUACUACCUGCUAUCAACGUCAUGCUUCCUGAGACAGAUCGAGAUGGCUUGUCGCAGACACCAAAUGGCAGGCUUUCCUAACUGGAGGAGGUACAGAAAGAAUUCUGUCAUCAAGGGAAGAAAUAGUCGCAG
Peromyscus eremicus (cactus mouse) is the source of this 315-nucleotide long non-coding RNA. RefSeq lists it as uncharacterized. Lineage: Eukaryota; Metazoa; Chordata; Mammalia; Rodentia; Cricetidae. The record is from RefSeq and is a predicted model, not a curated record. The transcript is spliced from 3 exons.